CGAUGCAGGAGACAUUAAAAUUUAUGACACUCUCCUACCAAUACCGAAUUAUAUAACAAGUAGAGAUAAUAUUUUUUGAUAUAAGUGAAUUAUUUUGAAAGCCAAGAUAUUGUUUUAGAUUCAAUUUCUGGCACCGAUGCUCAAGAACACAUACUACCUCUGGCUGAAAUUCAAAAUGUUUCAACUACCAAAUCAAUACUUGCUAGCAAUGAAAAUCAUACAAUCAAUAAUAUAGCAGUUGAAUGUCCAGAAGAUGAAAAAGAAACACUAUCUCAUGUUAAAGAACAAAAUGUUGUAAUAACUGAAUUUGAUAGUGAUUAUGACAACAGAGCAUCGUCGUCAGAUAAUUAUAAUCCUGAAAAUGAAUAUUGUAGGGUGCGUAUUAAUGUAAAACUACCCGUCGUACACAAUACGCGGUUCGGUCCAAUAAUAAAAGCCAAAAACUUUAGACAAAAAAAAACACUUAUAUUAUCAAACAAAAAUCAGGCAGUUUUAAGAUGGUUAAAGACUAUGUAAUGUAUGAAAAUUAAAUAAAAAUCAGAAAAAGCAAAAAACCUAUUAACCCGGCCCCGAGAAUAUAAAACCGACCGAAAAAUAAUAAAAUAAAAACUGAUAGCUCUGACAGACGUCGUUCAAGAUGACGUGACAAAUAUGAUAGUACAAGCAGUUCUUCUAGUUGCUCCACUUGCUCUACAUCCUCAAGCUCUUCCAGUUCUUCUAAGGACACAAGCGAAGAAACAAAAAAACUUCCACUAAAGAGGAAGAAGAAAAACAUUGGAACUUGGAAAAAAAAUAUCAGAAAACAAAAAAGACUUAGAGGAGAGGCAUACUUAAGUGUUAAAAAUAUAGAGAAACCAGCAAGGCCGUUACUACCAUGCCCUUGUGGUGGCAAAGCGAAACAUAAAUGCCGCGAAUCUGUUUCAGAAGAGAAUAGGCAAACAUUUAUGAAGAAUUUCGGCAACUCUCAUCAUUAGAUGAUCAGCGGAUAAGGGUCAACACCUGUAAUUAUUUUCUUACCGUUGAUGGACAAAAAAAUAAAGUGUGCCGCGAAUUUUUCAUAUCUACACUUAAUGUAACAGAUUCAUUCAUAAGAAUAUCUUUACAAAAACGAUCUUCUACUGGAACAAUAGAAAAAGACCGCCAUGGCAAACAUACUCCUACUAAUAAGUUAACUGAGGAUUGUUUGCAAAUGGUACGUGAUCACAUUUUAUCAUUUCCUGCAGUUGAGUCCCACUACUGCAGGGCUUUAAAAAAUAUUUGCACCCUACCCUAAACUUGUACAUAAUGCACAAUAUGUUGUACAAACCACAAUGCAAAGAAAAAAAUAUUCGCUCUGGUUCAAUCGAAAGAUACAGACAAGUUUUUAAAGAAUAUAGCGGGGGUUUUCAAGCCAAAGAAGGACCAGGGCAAGAUAUGUUUGGCACAGAAAAAUAUGACUGGAGAAGAAAAAGAAGCGCAAGAACAAACGUUUCAGCAACACUUGAGAUGAAAGGAAUUGGCACGCAAGGCUCGUAGUGCUGAUAAACUGGAAGCAAUAAACAAUUCUACUAUAUUAGCAUUCAAUUUUGACCUUGAAGCUGUACUCACAAAUCCAAAAGGAUCUGCAGGACAGAUAUUUUACUUGCGCAAGUUAGCUGUUUAUAACUUGACAGUUUAUAAUAUUGGAAAUCAAGAUGGCAUUUGCUAUCUAUGGGAUGAAACCCAGGGCAAAAGGGGUUCAAAUGAAAUCGCUUCUUGUAUCUAUGAAUACGUAUUAUCUAAUCCAGAAGUAACAGUUAGAAUGAUGUCAGAUGGCUGUGGUGGCCAGCAAAAAAUUUUAAUUUUGCUGCUAUGUGUAUGCAGCUCAUUUCUGUUCAUCCUAGCUUGAAAAUUAUAGAUCAUACAUUUUUCGAAAGCGGACACACUGAAAUGGAAUGCGAUUCCAUACAUUCCAAAAUUGAGCAGAAAGCUAAGCAUGUUCCUGUAUACAUUCCUGAAGGUUGGGCGCAAGCAAUACGAGAUGCUCGUAUUAAACCACGCCAAUUAUUGAAGUGAGGAGCAGAAGUUUUGAUGAUGUGUAUGAUUUUAAAGAAUUUGCAGCGCAAAAAUUUAAGAUGAACAAAAUACCAUGGCGUAAGGUUUGCUGGAUUCGUUAUCUUAAAUCGAACAUGACGAAGGUGUUUUACAAAAUGGAUUUUGAACAAGAAUUUCAUUACAUAAACUGCAUGAAAAAAUUUCGAGGUCGACCAAAAACAGCGAAGUUAAAAAAAUCAUAUGAAUGUGAGUUACCCAUUGCGAAGCCAAAAUAUCAGGAUUUACAAAAAAUGUGUUCUGAUUUAACAAUCCCAAAAGUUCAUCACAGUUUUUACAAGUCGCUAAAAAUUAAUAAUAAUAUUAGGGAUAGAUUACCAGAACCAGAUGACAGUGAAAAUACUGACUCAGAUGAAAAUUAAACCAUUUCACUUUAUACUCAAGCUCAUUUAAGCAUAUGAAUUUAGUUCCUUUUGUAUUUACAGUAUUUUUUGAGAAAACCUUUUUCGGUUUUAUAGUUUUUUUUUGCCAAUGAUUUAGAAGUUUAAGUAGUUUUGUUUUGUUAGAUUUAUAGAUCCAGAGUUUAUCCUAGUUUCCCAAUGAAAAUACACAUGUUUAUUUAUUGAUAUUUCAAAUCAAUAAAAAUUAUAAAAAUCAUUGUGUCUUUAGGUUUUUUUAUUGUACUGUAAGUGAUUUGAAAGAAAAUUUUGCAAUGCCAAGUCCACGAA
RNAcentral lists this long non-coding RNA (2738 nucleotides) under Anthonomus grandis grandis. RNAcentral describes it as "uncharacterized LOC126735958". The record is from RNAcentral. Lineage: Eukaryota; Metazoa; Arthropoda; Insecta; Coleoptera; Curculionidae.